CAGUGUGUAACUCAAUGGUAGAGAGCUCGGUUUGGAACCGAGGGACGGAAGUUCGAUUCUUCCCACACUGACCA
This 74-nucleotide transfer RNA is filed under the name Gammaproteobacteria bacterium. RNAcentral's name for it is "tRNA-Pro". It matches the Rfam family "tRNA". Rfam says of the family: Transfer RNA (tRNA) molecules are approximately 80 nucleotides in length. Their secondary structure includes four short double-helical elements and three loops (D, anti-codon, and T loops). Further hydrogen bonds mediate the characteristic L-shaped molecular structure. tRNAs have two regions of fundamental functional importance: the anti-codon, which is responsible for specific mRNA codon recognition, and the 3' end, to which the tRNAs corresponding amino acid is attached (by aminoacyl-tRNA synthetases). tRNAs cope with the degeneracy of the genetic code in two manners: having more than one tRNA (with a specific anti-codon) for a particular amino acid; and 'wobble' base-pairing, i.e. permitting non-standard base-pairing at the 3rd anti-codon position. Lineage: Bacteria; Pseudomonadati; Pseudomonadota; Gammaproteobacteria. The record is from RNAcentral. RNAcentral also lists the same sequence under 1 other name.